This 2914-nucleotide long non-coding RNA is filed under the name Homo sapiens (human). RNAcentral describes it as "HSALNT0358779". Lineage: Eukaryota; Metazoa; Chordata; Mammalia; Primates; Hominidae. The record is from RNAcentral.
UUUUUUUUCUGUAGCAAACAUCUUUCCUGUGAAAAAUUCCCUCUCCUAGUACUUUAGUUCUGUGGAUCCAAAAUUUAUAGCAUUCUUCUACCACCACAGGGGCUCAUAUGACAUUAACAGACAAGACACUUUUCAGAAAGACAGGUUGUUCUUUUGGGCCACAUCUAAGAAAUCUUUGUCUAGCCAAAAGCCACAAAUAAUUUCUCAUUUUUUGGCUUCUGGAAGAUGUACAGUUAAAUGUUAUAUUUGGGACUGUUAUCUAAUUUGGUUAAAUUGCACUCUACAAUAUGGUAUUUGAAUUGAUGAAAAAUUAGUAAAUGUUAAUAUUUUUUAAAGUAGCCAAAUCUUGCAAUUUAUAUAUAAUAGAGAAGACUAGAAAAUCCCCCAUAUUUAUUUCCUCUUACUUCGUACUACUAAAAUUUGUAUUUAGGCAUUUGGUUUCUCAGAUAAACAUUACAUUCCCCAGUAUAUGGUUCUAUCUGGCUUGGUGACGACAUGUUGAACAUUAAGAUGUGAGCAGAAGUAAUACAUACACACUCUUUUUCAUGUCUUUAAUUGAAUGGGAUAUUGGCCCAUUUUUUCUUCCAGUUUAUUACACUGAAUAUUGACAUGUUAUUUUCCAAUAUUGAGACAAUCAAUGACAAGACUUUAAGAGUAACAAUGUAAAAAUACAGAAGUUGUCUGAGUUUAUCAACAAUCCCCUGGAUUAGAACCCCCUACCAGUUCUAGGUCAUCUAAUAUAUAGACAUUGUGUUCAGUAGAAAUAAAUAUAUAUAUUUUUUAUUAUGCUUUAAGUUCUAGGAUACAUGUGCACAACAUGCAGUUUUGUUACAUUGGUAUACACGUGCCAUGUUGGUUUGCUGCACCCAUUAACUCAUCAUUUACAUUAGGUAUUUCUCCUAAUGCUAUCCCUCCCCCUGCCCCCACCCCCGACAGGCCCUGGGGUGUGAUUUUCCCCACCCUGUGUCCAAGUGUUCUCAUUGCUCAAUUCCCACCUAUGGGAAUACAUUUUUAAAUCAUUUUUAAAGGUGUUAUUACAUUCUGAUUGAACAUUUUCAGAAAGAAUAAAUAAUUUAAUACAAGAAGUGGGCCACUUCAUGUAACAAAACAAACCACCACUACAGCAACAACAACAAAAAACACUAAUGAAUGUGACUUUAGCUUUGCAACAUCGUGACAGACUAGCAAGUUAAUGACAUUUGUUAUGCCAUAGAAAAUAUUUGUUGAAUUGCCACUCUAAUGACUUUAUAUCAGCCAACUCAUUAUCAACACUAGAAAAGAUGAUUAAAAAAUACUUCAGUACGUUCACGUGUUGGCUUGUUAACAUUUUUAAGAGUCUAUAAGAGAAAAAUGCAUCCAAUCUUGACAAAAAUAUUUUUCAAGUAUCUUGUAGGUACGUACAACUAACUACCUUGUGAACAAAAGUCACUAUAUAAUUAUAUAAUUUCUGACACUUAAAAAAGUUUAUUGUGCUAAAGAAGAUAUAUGUUCUAAUACCAAAUCCACAUAUAAAAUAAUUGACUUAAAUAAUUUAAGAUGCUCUUUUAUAUAUUUAUAUUAAAAACUUUACAGAGAAUAAAAAAAGCAUUAUACAGGCUACUUAUGGUUUUUGAUGUUUGGAUCUACAAUACAUGUAUCAAAGAUUGUGGAAAUAAAUCAAACAAUAUAUUCAAUUGGACUUAAUUGCAUUAUUACAUGCCAAGUGUCGUAUACCAUCUAUUUGCACAUAACACUUUUUAAUUUAGGUAAAAUUAUUAUCAUAAAGCUACAUGAAUUUAUUUUAUUCCAUGUUAUUAUUUAUGUAUUGUUAGGAACAUUUGCUUAAAAAUCAUAUUUGGACAUAGUUAGUAUCAGAUACUUUACAUCCUUUGAAUCAGUUAUUUUAUAACAGUAUAUACUAAACAUCAUUACUCCUUUUCAAACAUAAAUAACGCAAUACAAAUUGGACAAAAAAUUCAGGAAAGAUCUGGGAUCAAAAAGGAGGUAUUGAAACAUCACAUGUACUCCAUAAUUAUAUACAAAUAUUUUGUACCCAUAAUAUUUAAAAUACAGAAAAUUAAAAGGUGCAUUUUCCUCAAAGUGCAUGCUUCUUUUGCUAUGCAAAACUGCAAGAUAUGGAAAGAAGUGUAUUAAAACACUAAAUCACUUUAUGUGGAAGAUAAAAGGGAUGGUACCCAAUGUAAGACUUCAUGUAGUGCACUGAUACAUUCAAUACAAAUGAUGUAUUAACUUCAAGAUAACAUGAGAAAGUUAAAUUAUCUAACUUAUUUCAAACUAGGGGAUAGUAUGUUCUCAUUAUUAGAAGCCAGAAUUCUGCUUAUCCAUUUCUAUUAUUAGAAAAAAACAUAAUUUUUAUUCUUGUCUUAAAAAUAGACACCAUGAUAUCAUUCUCUGUAAAUGCAGCAUGAUAGUCUGUUUACAGAGUUUAUAUCAUUCCAAGACUGCACUUCUAAAGUGAGAAAAUAUUAAAGGAUAUAAACUCACUCCUCUCUACAAAAUUCCUUAUUUUUUAUGCAAUGGCUUUAAAAUGUAUGGAAGGGGAGUUAUGGAAACAAUCCAUACCUGGAAAGCAUUCUAUCCAUGCCUUUGAAAUGGUUAUCUAGUACUAGAUUCUUAUCAGUGCCUAGCUAUGUAAUGUGUGUAGCUUAAGAUUUUUAAGAAAGAAGGAUAAAAUGCUCAAUAUAAAUUUAAAAAGCACUUUUAUUGGAAUAUUGAAUCAUAUAUUUGCUUUCUGUAAGUCCUUUUAUCUAUAAAAUAAUAGUUGAGAAAGGCAAAUAGAAUAUGUGGAGGAAUUAAAAAUUCAGUUGUAGGGUGGUAAAUGAAAACCAAAUUUUUCAUUCACCACAUUAAAUGUAAAUGGGUAUUAUACUCAAUUUAAGCAGCAAAGUUGCUUUUUUUUUUUUUUUUUUUUUUG